This 639-nucleotide ribosomal RNA is filed under the name Triticum aestivum (bread wheat). Its description in RNAcentral is "partial small subunit ribosomal RNA". The record is from RNAcentral. Lineage: Eukaryota; Viridiplantae; Streptophyta; Magnoliopsida; Poales; Poaceae.
AUGGGAGCGACUUACGCCAACGUCGCGUUGCUCGGCCUUGUCCUGGCCGUGGCGGCCGCGCUGCUGGCGUGCCAGUGCGCGGCGCAGGCUCCAUCUGGUGGCGGCGGCGGCUCUGGGUGCAUGCCGGAGCUCGUGAGCCUGUCGCCGUGCAUGGGCUACAUGUCAGGCAACGCGACGGCGCCCGGGGAGCCGUGCUGCGCGGCGGUGUCCGGCGUGCUGCGGUCCAGCCCGCGGUGCCUCUGCGCGGUGCUUGGCGGCACGGCGGCCACGCUCGGCGUGGCCGUGGACGGCGCCCGCGCGCUGCAGAUGCCCGCGGCGUGCAAGGUCCAGGCCCCGCCCGCCAGCCAGUGCGACGCCAUGGGAGCUCCGAUGUCUUCUCCGGCGGCGCCCUACGAUCCCGACGUGCCCCCUGCAGGUACGUGCAUGCAGAACCUCCUCCAAAUAUUCUGUACACAGGCCGUGGAAUUUACGUGGAGCUCAUGGGGGCAUCAUUUUCUGACGGACGCAGGGUCUGGAUCGAAGGCCACUCCAACACCUCAGUACUCCCACGGGAACGUCAACGGAGCAGGAAGAAGAACUCUGGCCUUUGCCGUCGCCGUUGUAGCAAUCGCUCUGACACUGGUUCCUGAGAUCUUUUGA